GCACAAGCGGUGGAGCAUGUGGUUCAAUUCGAAGCAACGCGCAGAACCUUACCAGCCUUUGACAUCCCGGUCGCGAGCACCAGAGAUGGAGCUCUUCAGUUCGGCUGGACCGGAGACAGGUGCUGCAUGGCUGUCGUCAGCUCGUGUCGUGAGAUGUUGGGUUAAGUCCCGCAACGAGCGCAACCCUCGCCCUUAGUUGCCAUCAUUUAGUUGGGCACUCUAAGGGGACUGCCGGUGAUAAGCCGGAGGAAGGUGGGGAUGACGUCAAGUCCUCAUGGCCCUUACAGACUGGGCUACACACGUGCUACAAUGGCGGUGACAGAGGGACGCAAAGGAGCAAUCCUUCGCAAAUCUCAAAAAGCCGUCUCAGUUCGGAUUGUGCUCUGCAACUCGAGCACAUGAAGUUGGAAUCGCUAGUAAUCGCAGAUCAGCACGCUGCGGUGAAUACGUUCCCGGGC
RNAcentral lists this ribosomal RNA (458 nucleotides) under uncultured bacterium. RNAcentral describes it as "bacterial SSU rRNA". It matches the Rfam family "Bacterial small subunit ribosomal RNA", at positions 923 to 1379 of the family's 1533-position model. The record is from RNAcentral.